Molecule: transfer RNA, 76 nt
Filed under: Firmicutes bacterium CAG:103
Lineage: Bacteria; Bacillati; Bacillota
Also listed under: 14 other names
Description: transfer RNA-Pro(CGG)
Rfam family: tRNA
About the family: Transfer RNA (tRNA) molecules are approximately 80 nucleotides in length.
Source: RNAcentral
CGGGGUGUAGCGCAGAUGGUAGCGCGCAUGGUUCGGGACCAUGAGGCCGCGAGUUCAAGUCUCGCCACUCCGACCA